RNAcentral lists this ribosomal RNA (477 nucleotides) under uncultured bacterium. RNAcentral describes it as "bacterial SSU rRNA". It matches the Rfam family "Bacterial small subunit ribosomal RNA", at positions 328 to 793 of the family's 1533-position model. The record is from RNAcentral.
UCAGUCGACUCCUACGGGGAGGCAGCAGUGGGGGAAUAUUGCACAAUGGGCGCAAGCCUGAUGCAGCCAUGCCGCGUGUAUGAAGAAGGCCUUCGGGUUGUAAAGUACUUUCAGCAGUGAGGAAGGUGGAGUCGUUAAUAGCGGCCUCAUUUGACGUUAGCUGCAGAAGAAGCACCGGCUAACUCCGUGCCAGCAGCCGCGGUAAUACGGAGGGUGCGAGCGUUAAUCGGAAUUACUGGGCGUAAAGCGCAUGCAGGUGGUUUGUUAAGUCAGAUGUGAAAGACCCGGGGCUCAACCUCGGAAUUGCAUUUGAAACUGGCAGACUAGAGUACUGUAGAGGGGGGUAGGAAUUUCAGGUGUAGCGGUGAAAUGCGUAGAGAUCUGAAGGAAUACCGGUGGCGAAGGCGGCCCCCUGGACAGAUACUGACACUCAGAUGCGAAAGCGUGGGGAGCAAACAGGAUUAGAUACCCUGGUAG